GCGGCGUUCGUAUACUGGCUAUUACCCUAGCCUUCCAAGCUAGAGAAGCGGGUUCGAUUCCCGCACGCCGCUCCA
RNAcentral lists this transfer RNA (75 nucleotides) under Alphaproteobacteria bacterium. RNAcentral describes it as "tRNA-Gly". It matches the Rfam family "tRNA". From Rfam's summary of the family: Transfer RNA (tRNA) molecules are approximately 80 nucleotides in length. The record is from RNAcentral. RNAcentral also lists the same sequence under 3 other names. Lineage: Bacteria; Pseudomonadati; Pseudomonadota; Alphaproteobacteria.